This 1071-nucleotide long non-coding RNA is filed under the name Calidris pugnax (ruff). RNAcentral describes it as "lncRNA (ENSCPUG00000004166.1)". The record is from RNAcentral. Lineage: Eukaryota; Metazoa; Chordata; Aves; Charadriiformes; Scolopacidae.
GGUCUUGGGUCUGGGGUUUUGGGUGCCAGGUGGGAGGUUUUGGGUGCUGGGUGGGAGGUUUUAGGUGCCAAGCAUGAGGUUUUGGGUGCCGGGUCUGGGGUUUUGGGUGCCGGGUGGGACAUUUUGGGGUUUUGGGUGCCAAGCAUGAGGGUUUGGGUGCCGGGCAGAAGGUUUUGGGUGGAAGGUGCCGGGUAGAAGGUUUUGGGUGCCAGGUAAAAGGUUUUGGGCGCCGGGCAGAAGGUUUUGGGUGGAAGGUGCUGGGCAGAAUGUUUUGGGUGCUGGGCAGAAGGUUUUGGGUGUCGGGUAGAAGAUUUUAGGUGCUGGGCAGAAGGUUUUGGGUGGAAGGUGCUGGGCAGAAGGUUUUGGGCAUUGGGUAGAAGGUUUUAGGUGCUGGGUAGAAGCUUUUGGGUGCCGGGUAGAAGAUUUUAGGUGCUGGGCAGAAGGUUUUGGGUGGAAGGUGCUGGGCAGAAGGUUUUGGGCAUUGGGUAGAAGGUUUUAGGUGCCGGGCAGAAGGUUUUAGGUGCUGGGCAGAAGGUUUUGGGUGGAAGGUGCCGAGCAGAAGGUUUUGGGUGCCGGGUGGAAGGUUUUGGGUGCCAGGUGGAAGGUUUAGGGUGCCGGGUAGAAGGUUUUGGGUGCUGGGUAGCUUUUGGGUGCCGGGUAGGAGGGUUUAGGUGCUGGGCAGAAGGUUUUGGGUGGAAGGUGCCGGGUAGAAGGUUUUGGGCGCUGGGUAGGAGGUUUUGGGUGCCAGGUGGAAGGUUUUGGGUGCCAGGUGGAAAUUUUUGGGUGCCGGGCAGAAGUUUUUGGGUGCCGGGUGGGACGUUUUGGGUGCCAAGCAUGAGGUUUUGGGUGCUGUGCAGAAGGUUUUGGGUGGAAGGUGCCAGGUAGAAGGUUUUGGGUGCCGGGCAGAAGGUUUUGGGGUGCCAGGUACAACUUUUUGGGUGCCACCUGCCCUCCACGGGCACAACCUGUGGGGAUUGCGGGGACAGAACAUAUCCUUUGGGGCCACCUCGUGAUGUCACCCCCUCUUUCUUCACAUGUGUGUGUCCCCCCACUUCCACCCCACCCCCUCCC